CGGCCCGGUAAGUCGUCCCUGAAAUCCACGGGCUCAACCCGUGGGCUGGGGACGAUACUGCCGGGCUUGGGGGCGGGAGAGGCCGAGGGUACUCCCGGGGUAGGGGCGAAAUCCGAUAAUCCCGGGAGGACCACCAGUGGCGAAGGCGCUCGGCUGGAACGCGCCCGACGGUGAGGGGCGAAAGCUGGGGGAGCAAAGGGGAUUAGAUACCCCUGUAGUCCCAGCUGUAAACGAUGCGGGCUAGCUGUUGGGCGGGCUUAGAGCCCGCCCAGUGGCGGAGGGAAGCCGUUAGCCCGCCGCCUGGGGGA
This 308-nucleotide ribosomal RNA is filed under the name uncultured archaeon. RNAcentral's name for it is "bacterial SSU rRNA". It matches the Rfam family "Archaeal small subunit ribosomal RNA", at positions 526 to 835 of the family's 1478-position model. The record is from RNAcentral.